CUAGCAUUCCCCAUUCACCACUUCGAUGUUUUAGAUUUUGAAGCGCACAAGGAGGACACCACAAGUCCAAAUCAGGCCGGCGCUACAUCUACAAGUCACAGGUUCUCUGUCUUGUUCUUGAUGGCUUCAACAAGACUAGCAUACCCCAUUCACCACACCAAGACAUUGUUUUGAUGUUUUAGCUCUUAAAGCGCACAAGGAGACCACCACAAGUCCAAAUCUGGCCGGCUCUACAUCUACAAGUCACAGGUUCUCUUUCUUGUUGCUGACGGCUUCAACAAGACUAGCAUACCCCAUUCACCACGCCAUGACACUGCUUUGAUGUCUUAAUCUUGAAGCGCACCACAAGUCCAAAUCUGUCCGGCUCUACAUCCACAAGUCAGGCUCUCUGGCUUCAACAACAAGACUAGCAUUACCCACUCACCAAGCCAUGCCAGAUGACACAAGCAGGUUCCUAUAGGUCCAAAUCUAGCCGGAUCUAUGCCGAUUACAACAGGAACAAGGAGGAAGAUCAGAUCCAGCUACUUGUCAUCAGCAACAAGCUUGCACACUCUCUGAUCAUGCCAAUGACUCCAUGACAGUUCAAAAUCUCUAUAAUCAAGUUACAAUGACAACAAGACCAGCUGAGCCAUGAGGUCUCUUCUUUUUCUUUUUACGAGAAGAUUGUUAUGGUGGUUUCAGAUUCGAAAGUGCACAAGGAGGUUGCCAAGAUCGAUCAGAUCUAAGCCAUAACAAGGCAGGUGCAUCAUCCUUCACUACUUUCCUUCCUAUCUUAGGUUGCACUCAGAGUAAUCUUCCUCGGUGCAAAUAAAAUUCACUUCUGUUGUAUAGUUUGAACUUGGAAAACCUAGUAUAGUUUGUGGGUGACACAUUUUGAUUUCUUACGACAACAUAAACAGAAUAUGAUUUCUUCUGGAAAAGGACGAGCUUAAUUUGUCAGUGCCAAGGUCUGGUGAGCUGGCAUGUAUGUAUGUUCAGGUUGUAGUUGCCAUCCAUUGUUUUCCGGGGUAGCCAAAAUAUCUGGAAUUAAUCUCUAACGUCGCUGUUGAUAAUGCUCUUGCAUUGAAGAUACAAUAUAUUGGAAAUUUUCAUAUGCUCUUGUGGGAAAUUCUACCUCAUAAAACGAACAUUCUUGUUGUUUGAGGAUUUCCUGAAGUGAAAAUUGAUGGCUCCUUUUAAUUGGAGUCACUGUAAUCAUGGGAGUACAUAUUGAUUUGCCUAAUGACAUCUAUGACACUAUAGUUUUGCUUUUUAUACAUUUCUUGAUUGCGCUACAACUUUCUUUAUAGUACCUUAAUCAACAACUUUAGCUAUUAGUCUCUCCAUACAUCUAGGGAAAUAUUGA
Molecule: long non-coding RNA, 1345 nt
Organism: Triticum aestivum (bread wheat)
Lineage: Eukaryota; Viridiplantae; Streptophyta; Magnoliopsida; Poales; Poaceae
Exons: 5
Source: RefSeq, a predicted model, not a curated record